RNAcentral lists this ribosomal RNA (497 nucleotides) under uncultured bacterium. RNAcentral describes it as "partial 16S ribosomal RNA". It matches the Rfam family "Bacterial small subunit ribosomal RNA", at positions 28 to 507 of the family's 1533-position model. The record is from RNAcentral.
GAUGAACGCUGGCGGCGUGCCUAAUACAUGCAAGUCGAGCGAACGGACGAGAAGCUUGCUUCUCUGAUGUUAGCGGCGGACGGGUGAGUAACACGUGGAUAACCUACUUAUAAGACUGGGAUAACUUCGGGAAACCGGAGCUAAUACCGGAUAAUAUUUUGAACCGCAUGGUUCAAAAGUGAAAGACGGUCUUGCUGUCACUAAUAGAUGGAUCCGCGCUGCAUUAGCUAGUUGGUAAGGUAACGGCUUACCAAGGCAACGAUGCAUAGCCGACCUGAGAGAGUGAUCGGCCACACUGGAACUGAGACACGGUCCAGACUCCUACGGGAGGCAGCAGUAGGGAAUCUUCCGCAAUGGGCGAAAGCCUGACGGAGCAACGCCGCGUGAGUGAUGAAGGUCUUCGGAUCGUAAAACUCUGUUAUUAGGGAAGAACAUAUGUGUAAUUAACUGUGCACAUCUUGACGGUACCUAAUCAGAAAGCCACGGCUAACUACGUG